AAGAAAGUAAAUAAGGGCACACGGGGGAUGCCUAGGCUCCCAGAGGCGAAGAAGGACGCGACAAGCUGCGAUAAGCCGCGGGGAUCGGCACAUACGACUUGAUCCGCGGGUUUCCG
This 116-nucleotide ribosomal RNA is filed under the name Sphingobacterium corticibacterium. RNAcentral describes it as "Sphingobacterium sp. 30C10-4-7 partial 23S ribosomal RNA". It matches the Rfam family "Bacterial large subunit ribosomal RNA", at positions 1 to 116 of the family's 2925-position model. Lineage: Bacteria; Pseudomonadati; Bacteroidota; Sphingobacteriia; Sphingobacteriales; Sphingobacteriaceae. The record is from RNAcentral.